UACGUAGGUGACCAGCGUUGUCCGGAUUUACUGGGCGUAAAGAGCGCGCAGGCGGUCGUUCAAGUCGAGUGUGAAAGCCCCCGGCUCAACUGGGGAGGGUCAUUCGAUACUGAUCGACUGGAAGGCAGGAGAGGGAAGCGGAAUUCCCGGUGUAGUGGUGAAAUGCGUAGAUAUCGGGAGGAACACCUGUGGCGAAAGCGGCGCACUGGACCACAACUGACGCUGAGGCGCGAAAGCUAGGGGAGCAAACAGG
RNAcentral lists this ribosomal RNA (253 nucleotides) under uncultured bacterium. RNAcentral describes it as "partial 16S ribosomal RNA". It matches the Rfam family "Bacterial small subunit ribosomal RNA", at positions 524 to 776 of the family's 1533-position model. The record is from RNAcentral.